GAAUAGCCUACUGAUGAGUGCAUAUUUAUGCCCACAUUUAAGCUUUAAAAUUAAAAUUUUUGAUAGAAUAUUUGUGCUUAAAUGAUUGAUUUGAAGAAGAUUUGUGAUUAUUGGAUUUAGCGUGUUUGGAAAUAUAAAGGGCUUAAAAAGUGAUUUUAAUUGCAUAAAUUAUUCUUGGAUGUUCUAAUAUUUAUAUGUGCAGCUGAAAUUAUAAGUUUAUUGGUCCAAAUUACAAUUUAAAUCCCAAAAUCAGGUUUUAUUUGGAAAAUAAUGUACAGAUGGGCCAAACAGGCAGUCUUUACCCUUGCACCUCCCAAAAUUCCCUACAUACACCUCUGGCCCAACACUAAGCCAAACAGUAACCCUAUUCUGAAUACACCUCCUAAGUUUCCUACACACACCCCUCCUACCACUAAUUAAACCAGAUCCAAUCAGAACAUGCCACCUCAUCUUCUUGCCACAUCAUCAUCUUCCACACUGAAACCCUAAUUUCCCUCUGCAAUGAAACCCUAGCCGUCAACUUCUGCAAGUCGCCGUCAAUGCCGCAAGACGCCGCGACGGCCAAUCACCGAAACAGCCGCUCCCCACCAUCACGGUUUCGCAUCUCGGUGGAUCACCACGCCGUUUCUCGCCUCGACCAUCAGUGCCGCCGUUCUUUCUUCACGUCGCCAACUUCCUUCAUCUUCGUCACCUGCAAUCCAGAAAACGCAGAGAAAUCUCCAUUGCCACCGUCAUCACCGUCUCCAUUGUUGAAUUA
This 757-nucleotide long non-coding RNA is filed under the name Vigna radiata. RNAcentral describes it as "long non-coding RNA (VRAD_LNC001125)". The record is from RNAcentral. Lineage: Eukaryota; Viridiplantae; Streptophyta; Magnoliopsida; Fabales; Fabaceae.